CUGCUUGCCAGACGGAUUGGUGCCGUGCCUCAUCAAGGCGCGGAUAAUAGGGAAGAGGGUGGGAAUCCCUCGCUGUCCCGCAACUGUAACAGGCGAUGAAAGCCGCUUUAUGCCACUGGGUUAAUCUGGGAAGGCGCGGCGAGUAAGAUGACCCUGGAGCCAGGAGACCUGCCAAACCGAUGCUUCAAUG
RNAcentral lists this non-coding RNA (190 nucleotides) under Geobacter sp. RNAcentral also lists the same sequence under 1 other name. Lineage: Bacteria; Pseudomonadati; Thermodesulfobacteriota; Desulfuromonadia; Geobacterales; Geobacteraceae. The record is from RNAcentral.